RNAcentral lists this long non-coding RNA (1029 nucleotides) under Salmo salar (Atlantic salmon). Its description in RNAcentral is "lncRNA (ENSSSAG00000083266.1)". Lineage: Eukaryota; Metazoa; Chordata; Actinopteri; Salmoniformes; Salmonidae. The record is from RNAcentral.
UGGCUCACAUACUCCACGUAUCAUCACAGAAAGAGACUGACUCACAUACUCCACGUAUCAUCACAGAAAGAGACUGACUCACUCACACACUCCACGUAUCAUCACAGAAAGAGACUGACUCACUCACACACUCCACGUAUUCAUCACAGAAAGAGACUGGCUCACACACACACUCCACGUAUCAUCACAGAAAGAGACUGACUCACUCACACACUCUACGUAUCAUCACAGAAAGAGACUGACUCACACACUCCACGUAUCAUCACAGAAAGAGACUGACUCACUCACACACUUCACGUAUCAUCACAGAAAGAGACUGGCUCACACACUCCACGUAUCAUCACAGAAAGAGACUGACUCACUCACACACUCCACGUAUCAUCACAGAAAGAGACUGGCUCACAUACUCCACGUAUCAUCACAGAAAGAGACUGACUCACACACUCCACGUAUUCUCACAGAAAGAGACUGACUCACUCACACACUCCACGUAUCAUCACAGAAAGAGACUGACUCACUCACACACUCCACGUAUUCUCACAGAAAGAGACUGGCUCACACACACACUCCACGUAUCAUCACAGAAAGAGACUGACUCACUCACACACUCUACGUAUCAUCACAGAAAGAGACUGACUCACACACUCCACGUAUCAUCACAGAAAGAGACUGACUCACUCACACACUUCACGUAUCAUCACAGACAGAGACUGGCUCACACACUCCACGUAUCAUCACAGAAAGAAUCUGACUCACUCACACACUCCACGUAUCAUCACAGAAAGAGACUGGCUCACACACUCCACGUAUCAUCACAGAAAGAGACUGACUCACACACUCCACGUAUCAUCACAGAAAGAGACUGUCUCACUCACACACUCCACGUAUCAUCACAGAAAGAGACUGACUCACUCACACACUCCACGUAUCAUCACAGAAAGAGACUGACUCACUCACACACUCCACGUAUCAUCACAGAAAGAGACUGGCUCACUCACACACUCCACGUAUCAUCACAGAAAGAGACUG